UGCAAAGAAUGUUCUUGCCAGUGGAAGCGACGAGGUACUAUUGGGUCUCAAACACGAGAUUGAGGAAAAAGCUGGGAGCCUUGUGAGUGAACGACCAAAACAGAUGGAACCAGUCCACGAUGGCCUCCUCGAAUAUCAUUUCAAACCAACAAAAGAUGUUAUGGAAGAUAUAAAGUUAAAUGACCUCGGAAGAAUUGUUUAUCGGGAAAAAACGAAGAAAAGGCGAGUUAACGUUACAGCACAGUCUUUAUGUGAAAGAUCAACCAUCUUGGAUGGUAACAUGGAACAGGCGAAGCAACUUGUACAAUGGUUGGAAGAUAAGACGUUUGGUUGGCAACUUUGUUACCGCGCCUCGAGUCAUGGUUGGAGCGCAGAGGAUUUUCACAGAAAGUGCGACGAUGUUGGACCAACAUUGACUUUAGUGAAAUGUGGAAGCAACAUCUUUGGUGGUUUCACUGCUGAAAGUUGGAAGCCAUCACUAGU
Molecule: long non-coding RNA, 483 nt
Organism: Dendronephthya gigantea
Lineage: Eukaryota; Metazoa; Cnidaria; Anthozoa; Malacalcyonacea; Nephtheidae
Exons: 3
Source: RefSeq, a predicted model, not a curated record